UGUUCGUUGGAAAUUUCCUACGAUUACUCAAUUGAUUUGAAGCGCUUUUUCUCUAAUGAAUGGAUUUGUCACUUUUGCAUUACAUGUCGGAAAUAUUGUCGUUCAACAGUUUGCCUGACAGCCGUUCAAUGACAUUGUCUGCCUUAAUGUGUUUCAUUUGUUCAUAGUGUUGUGUACCGCGUGUAUUCAGUGUCUGUUAUUGAUCGACUUUCGUAAUAUUUUGAAAAGUGUUGUACAUUAGUCGAAGUACAAUUCAUUGUAUACGUUACAAAGCGCCACUGUCACUGACUUUACGAAGAAAGGAACAUUAAACUUGGGUCACCAACAUGUCAUUUGUGCGGACUGGGAAGGCCACACCACGGCUUAGGACUGUUUGGUAAGGUAUUUCAUCGGUGCGUUAGAACACAAGGAAAAGAACUACGGCAUAUUCCGAACGAUCGGUUUAUGAAUAUUUUCACGAGACAACAAAAAAAUCACCCAAAGUGGAUAUCAACCGAGUACACUAAGGUCGCUUUUCACGGGGCUUUUGAAGUAGAAUACUUCUCUCAGGAAGUUCGGCAACAUAGGGAUGUGAAAUGAAAAUCUAAA
Long non-coding RNA from Wyeomyia smithii (pitcher-plant mosquito), 588 nucleotides. RefSeq lists it as uncharacterized. The record is from RefSeq and is a predicted model, not a curated record. The transcript has 3 exons. NCBI's taxonomy places the organism in Eukaryota, Metazoa, Arthropoda, Insecta, Diptera, Culicidae.